GCGCGAAAGCCUUACAAUGCUGGCAACAGCGAUAAGGGAACCUCGAGUGCCAGGUUACAAAUCUGGCUGUCGAGAUGCCUAAAAAGCAUUUCAUAGCAAGGGCCGGGCAAGACCGGUGCCAGCCGCCGCGGUAACACCGGCGGCUCGAGUGGUAACCGUUAUUAUUGGGUCUAAAGGGUCUGUAGCCGGCCGGAUAAGUCUCUUGAGAAAUCUGGCAGCUUAACUGUCAGGCUUUCAGGAGAUACUGUCUGGCUCGAGGCCGGGAGAGGUGAGAGGUACUUCAGGGGUAGGGGUGAAAUCUUGUAAUCCUUGAAGGACCACCAGUGGCGAAGGCGUCUCACCAGAACGGACCUGACGGCAAGGGACGAAAGCUAGGGGCACGAACCG
Molecule: ribosomal RNA, 387 nt
Filed under: uncultured bacterium
Lineage: Bacteria
Description: bacterial SSU rRNA
Rfam family: Archaeal small subunit ribosomal RNA
Source: RNAcentral